This 634-nucleotide long non-coding RNA is filed under the name Dermacentor andersoni. RNAcentral describes it as "uncharacterized LOC126531177". The record is from RNAcentral. Lineage: Eukaryota; Metazoa; Arthropoda; Arachnida; Ixodida; Ixodidae.
UUUGCCUGUCUUCUUGAAUUUUUCAAGUCUGACCGAAAAUAGCCUUUUGCUUUUUUCUUGACUUUGUCAAUCAUUUUGCCUGUCUUCAUUUUCAGCAUAACCAUCCCCACUCAUGUAAGGCACCGUCUGAGUAGUCAAUCCAAGCCUUUGUGCGACUGUCAAGAGGCAAAUUGUGGUUAAGGAAUGCCAUUGCUGGUGUUGUGACGACGCCGGCACGUCUUAAAGGUGCACCGUAUUGUCGACAUCCUGACAAAGACUGCAACCCUCACACCACUCCCCAAAUGCUACUCCCACUGUUGCACGCAACCUUGUCAAGAGGACAUACUUGAAGACCCAUCGAUGCACCACUCCGUUUGUCUGCACGAUGGCAGCAACACUUUUCAACAUGCCCUAGCUCGAAAUAAAAAAGAAAUUAUUCUUUUACUCGAAGAAAAGUUAGCAAAAGCACAUAUAAUACAAUUUCAGGCUAUAAAGUAAUGUAUCUAAGCAAGACAACUCCCUGCGUGGCUUCUUGGUUAUGCGAAGGUACACAGAUUUGUUGACAGUGUUUUACUGUCUGAGCAACAUUACAUGUCAUUGUGGCACCAUUUUCAGAGUCAAAUUAAAUACAUAGUUUCUUGCUUAUUGAAUACAA